CUUGAAACAUACUAUGUAGUUCAUAUUACCUACCAAUGAGAUAAAAUGUAUAAUGAAUUAAAUGCUAAAAGAAUGCAUGAGAUGCUAAGUAUAGACUACUUUGGAUGAUGAUUAUAUGUAUGUUGACAUAUCAUGUGAUGCUAGUAAUAUAUGUGCAUGAUGACAUAUUGUGAAUUAACAUAUUGUGGAUUAUGUUAAAUAGAAACAUAUACAUGAUGACAUAUAUUGCAUAUGAUAGAAGAAUUAUGCAUGUUGCCAUAUUGUGGAACAUAGUAGAUGAAUUAUGCAUGUUGAACUUGGUCGAUUAGAGAAAUUGACUUUGGAAAACAAGAACAUAUUGAGUGGCAUUAAUGUAGUGUAUUUGACACUAGAGGUUUGAGAAUCUAGGGAUAGGUGAAUCCCUUAGAAAAUGCCUUGUGGAUAAAGAACUUAGUAAACCUAAGUACCCUCACAUGGAGAGGUUGUCGAUGAGUUAUU
Molecule: long non-coding RNA, 477 nt
Filed under: Ananas comosus (pineapple)
Lineage: Eukaryota; Viridiplantae; Streptophyta; Magnoliopsida; Poales; Bromeliaceae
Description: long non-coding RNA (ACOM_LNC023919)
Source: RNAcentral